This 787-nucleotide long non-coding RNA is filed under the name Pogona vitticeps (central bearded dragon). RNAcentral's name for it is "lncRNA (ENSPVIG00000004549.1)". The record is from RNAcentral. Lineage: Eukaryota; Metazoa; Chordata; Lepidosauria; Squamata; Agamidae.
AAAAAAUGAAACGAGUCGACACAGAGGUGGUACUAGAGAAAGUAUCACAAUUGUAUAUACCCUCUUAGGCAAAAACUCAACUCAGUGCUCUCUUGCCUCCAUAUCCCUUUGGGACUGGCCUACUGAUACUCACGCAGUACGGCUUCUUUGUCCCCAUAUGGAACAUGGAAGUAGAGUUCAGUUGAUAGAGACAUCCUAACAAUGCUUCUUCUAAGAGUAACCAAGUUCAUACUCUGAAGCAACAGCACUAGAACUUGCCAGCUCCUUCACAGAGAGCUGGGUUGCCCCAGAACCUCAUCGUCAUGGCAGCCAAGAAAAAAACAUUCAGAACACAGAGUUCAUACUGGCAACUGCCAUUUUAUGAAGCAGAAGGUGGAUUUCACAGGGGCCAGCAGCAGUUGGCAAGGGCACAAGAAAAGGCAAAAGUGCCAGCUGUUUUAUGCACCUUAUUUCUGCCUCUGUUUAAUAAGAGUUGAGACACUGAAAUCAAGCUACCGUAUAAGGACCAUGUGUGCCCAGAGAAGAUCAAGAAGAGAGCCAGGAUGCUCACAUCUAGAUUAUUUAUUACAACAGACUGGAACUGUACAUGCAGUUACUAAUCAAAAGGAAGCUGAGCUCGUCCACACUGGAAAAGUAGGAUGGACAACUGGGGAGUGACAUGCAGCCCCAACCCCAUUUUGCAACCCCACCCAAGUUGAAGAAACUAACAGCAGCUAACUAGGGUACAUAGCCUUCAGGAAACAAACACACAAAAUAUGACACAAUAAACAAAGUGUACUUCCAGCCA